UACGUAUGAGACUUGCGCUUGCGCACGUGUAACGGAGACGCAACCCCAUUAUCCACAUCAUAAUAAUGCACCCAUUAAAUUGAUGAAAGUUAUUCAAUAUAUUUAUAUACGAGCAAGGUCGAAUGCAUUUCAGUAUUUCAAAACGUUACGUAGCUCCACUUUCGUAUAUUCUUGGUAAUUUAUUUUUAGUUCUACGCAAGUAGAAUAAGGACUUGGUUGGAAGGACUUAAAAUUAAUCAGUCGGAACUCAAUCCCUCCGGCUGCUCUACUGUGAGUUGGUGCAUAUAAUUUUUAAUGUGAGUACCGAUCGCUAUUAGGAGACCCACAAGGACAGUCUCCCAGACUGAAAAUAAUAAUGAUUAUUACUAUUAUUAAUUCCGAGUGGGUUCAAGCCUGUAACUCCUGCAAUCGCUGGUCUGUGGACACCAACACGGAAUGUGCAUCACAACACAAGAGCGGUCAUCUGCAUGUUAAAUAAAGUAUUACAGAGUAAAUUAAGAGAUUCGUUCGUAUUAUUGAAAUUACUUGAAAAUUGCUUACAUAUACCUAAGGGAAGACUGUUUUCGCACGAUUAUUCUAUGAAGCCUAGUCGAAAGCGAGCCAACACUCGACACACCUGAAACAAGUAUUUGUACAUGUACAAAUAUCCAUCUCAAGCGAGAAUCGAACACACGCGCCCCUACACCAAAACUAUCUGUUCCUAUUUUAAAGAAAAUAAAGUAGGUCUUCUUAAAAUGAGAUCCCUAUA
Molecule: long non-coding RNA, 748 nt
Organism: Melitaea cinxia (Glanville fritillary)
Lineage: Eukaryota; Metazoa; Arthropoda; Insecta; Lepidoptera; Nymphalidae
Exons: 2
Source: RefSeq, a predicted model, not a curated record